RNAcentral lists this ribosomal RNA (497 nucleotides) under uncultured bacterium. RNAcentral describes it as "partial 16S ribosomal RNA". It matches the Rfam family "Bacterial small subunit ribosomal RNA", at positions 28 to 507 of the family's 1533-position model. The record is from RNAcentral.
GAUGAACGCUGGCGGCGUGCCUAAUACAUGCAAGUCGAGCGAACAGACGAGGAGCUUGCUCCUCUGACGUUAGCGGCGGACGGGUGAGUAACACGUGGAUAACCUACCUAUAAGACUGGGAUAACUUCGGGAAACCGGAGCUAAUACCGGAUAAUAUAUUGAACCGCAUGGUUCAAUAGUGAAAGACGGUUUUGCUGUCACUUAUAGAUGGAUCCGCGCCGCAUUAGCUAGUUGGUAAGGUAACGGCUUACCAAGGCGACGAUGCGUAGCCGACCUGAGAGGGUGAUCGGCCACACUGGAACUGAGACACGGUCCAGACUCCUACGGGAGGCAGCAGUAGGGAAUCUUCCGCAAUGGGCGAAAGCCUGACGGAGCAACGCCGCGUGAGUGAUGAAGGUCUUCGGAUCGUAAAACUCUGUUAUUAGGAAAGAACAAAUGUGUAAGUAACUAUGCACGUCUUGACGGUACCUAAACAGAAAGCCACGGCUAACUACGUG